RNAcentral lists this ribosomal RNA (438 nucleotides) under Triticum aestivum (bread wheat). Its description in RNAcentral is "partial small subunit ribosomal RNA". The record is from RNAcentral. Lineage: Eukaryota; Viridiplantae; Streptophyta; Magnoliopsida; Poales; Poaceae.
UUGGCUGCUGCUGUUGCGGAUCCAUCUUCUGAGCCUCGCUCAUAUCAGGCUGCCCUGCGCAUUCCACAUUGGCGAGAGGCUAUGGAGCAGGAGUUUCAUGCUCUUCUUCGUAACAAGACAUGGACUCUCGUUCCUCCACCACCACGGGUAAAUGUUAUUGACUCAAAAUGGGUAUUCAAAGUGAAGAAGCAUUCGGAUGGAUCUAUUGAGCGUUACAAAGCGCGACUUGUUGCUCACGGUUUUCGGCAGCGUCAUGGUCUUGACUAUGAGGACACCUUCAGUCCUGUCGUCAAGCCUACCACUAUUCGGCUUCUUCUCUCCAUUGCUGUUUCUCGUGGUUGGUCACUUCGUCAACUUGAUGUGCAGAAUGCUUUUCUACAUGGAUUUUUGGAGGAAGAGGUUUAUAUGAAACAGCCGCCUGGUUUCUCUGAUCCUGAU